GUGAAUCAAUAGUACACACAUGUGAACAAAUAGUUAUAAUCAUGUGAAUUAAUAGCAAUUAAUUGCUCAUUUAUCCGAUUAAUUACCCGACUGGUCAGUAAAACUUCCAGACAUCAAUUAAUAUCGGAAUAAAUGUCGAUUUUCACUAACACUAAUAAUUCCAACACAAUGUAACUAUCAAUUUCAUCUUUAAUCAACACGAACUUAUUCAUCAUUAAUAUUAUAACUCACAAUAUUUAAUAACCAG
RNAcentral lists this long non-coding RNA (247 nucleotides) under Panax ginseng (ginseng). RNAcentral describes it as "long non-coding RNA (PGIN_LNC013916)". Lineage: Eukaryota; Viridiplantae; Streptophyta; Magnoliopsida; Apiales; Araliaceae. The record is from RNAcentral.